This 796-nucleotide ribosomal RNA is filed under the name uncultured Glomeromycotina. RNAcentral's name for it is "SSU rRNA". It matches the Rfam family "Eukaryotic small subunit ribosomal RNA", at positions 314 to 1114 of the family's 1831-position model. The record is from RNAcentral. Lineage: Eukaryota; Fungi; Glomeromycota.
AUCAACUUUCGAUGGUAGGAUAGAGGCCUACCAUGGUGGUAACGGGUAACGGGGUGUUAGGGCACGACACCGGAGAGGGAGCUGAGAAACGGCUACCACAUCCAAGGAUGGCAGCAGGCGCGCAAAUUACCCAAUCCCGACACGGGGAGGUAGUGACAAUAAAUAACAAUACGGGGUUCUUUAGGAUUUCGUAAUUGGAAUGAGUACAAUUUAAAUCUCUUAACGAGGAACAAUUGGAGGGCAAGUCUGGUGCCAGCAGCCGCGGUAAUUCCAGCUCCAAUAGCGUAUAUUAAAGUUGUUGCAGUUAAAAAGCUCGUAGUUGAAUUUCGGGAUCAAUAUGUUGGUCGUGCCUCGGUACGUACUAGCUUAUUGGUUUCUCCUUUCUGAAGAACCAUGAUGUCAUUUAUUUGGUGUCGUGGGGAAUCAGGACUGUUACUUUGAAAAAAUUAGAGUGUUUAAAGCAGGCUCACGCUUGAAUACAUUAGCAUGGAAUAAUGAAAUAGGACGUUUGAUUCUAUUUUGUUGGUUUUUAGGAUCGACGUAAUGAUUAAUAGGGAUAGUUGGGGGCAUUAGUAUUCAAUUGUCAGAGGUGAAAUUCUUGGAUUUAUUGAAGACUAACUACUGCGAAAGCAUUUGCCAAGGAUGUUUUCAUUAAUCAAGAACGAAAGUUAGGGGAUCGAAGACGAUCAGAUACCGUCGUAGUCUUAACCAUAAACUAUGCCGACUAGGGAUCGGAUGAUGUUAAUUUUUUAAUGACUCAUUCGGCGCCUUACGGGAAACCAAAGUGUUUGGGUUC